UAGGGAAUAUUAGAAAUGGACGAAAGUCUGAUCUCGCCACACCGCGUGUGCGAAGAAGGCCUUCGGGUCGUAAAGCACUUUUUGGAAGGAAUAGGAAGGAAUGUACUUCCAGAAUAAGUCUCGGCCAACUACGUGCCAGCAGCCGCGGUAACACGUAGGAGGCGAACGUUAUCCGGAGUUACUGGGCGUAAAGCGCGUGUAGGUGGUACUGUAAGUAGGGCGUGAAAGCUCCUGGCUCAACUGGGAGAGGCCGUUCUAAACUCCAGAACUAGAGGAUGGUAGAGGGAGGUGGAAUUCCAGGUGUAGCGGUGGAAUGCGCAGAUAUCUGGAGGAACACCGGUGGCGAAGGCGGCCUCCUGGACCAUUCCUGACACUCAGACGCGAAAGCUAGGGUAGCAAACG
RNAcentral lists this ribosomal RNA (402 nucleotides) under uncultured prokaryote. Its description in RNAcentral is "bacterial SSU rRNA". It matches the Rfam family "Bacterial small subunit ribosomal RNA", at positions 355 to 774 of the family's 1533-position model. The record is from RNAcentral.